Molecule: ribosomal RNA, 253 nt
Filed under: uncultured bacterium
Lineage: Bacteria
Description: partial 16S ribosomal RNA
Rfam family: Bacterial small subunit ribosomal RNA
Source: RNAcentral
UACGUAGGGACCAAGCGUUGUUCGGAUUUACUGGGCGUAAAGGGCGCGUAGGCGGCAAUUCAAGUCAGCUGUGAAAUCUCCGGGCUUAACUCGGAACGGUCAGCUGAUACUGCUUUGUUAGAGUGCAGAAGGGGCAAUCGGAAUUCUUGGUGUAGCGGUGAAAUGCGUAGAUAUCAAGAGGAACACCUGAGGUGAAGACGGGUUGCUGGGCUGACACUGACGCUGAGGCGCGAAAGCUAGGGUAGCAAACGGG